AUUGAAAAAUUCGAAUGAUCCUGCUCACUUCCCCCAAUUUUCAUUUAUUCCCUCCAAAUGCCAUUAACUUCCCCAAAUUUCCAUUUUAUAAGAACAUCAUGCCCUCUCCAUGAAGAUGUCCAGUCGAGCUCCUUUCUCUCCACUCUCUUUCAUCUCCACUGAUGAUGACCGAUCCAUUCUCCAAUUCGCCACCCGCGUUCUUCUCACCGGCGUCAUGUCCGUCUUCCUCUUCCACUCCUCCCGCCGCGGAGCAAAAUACCAAAGAACUUGUUUGAUUUCUAACCAAUUCUUUUAGUUAGUUUGUUUUAUUUCAAUAUCUAGGGUUUAGUUUGUGGUAUGUGAUGCGUAUUUGAACCUAUGGAGCUUUUGAGUCAGUAUUAGCGAUGACUGAAUUGGGGAUUGUGCAUGUUCAAUAGACGUUGAGAUCUGUUUGGCGUUCGCUCUUUGCCCUGUGAUGAACACCUCUCUCACAGCUACUGCUACUGUUGUCACGACUAUAGAUAUUCUCAAGAACAGUGGAUUUGCCAUUGAGAAGAGUAAGAAUAUUUAUGACUGCUAAUUGUUAUUAUAUAAGUGUGGGAUGUGUGAAAUGUAUGUGUUUUUUUUUAUUAUUGUUGAUUCAAAAAGUAGUUGCAGAGAUUAAGACAUAAAAAGAUAAUCUAGAAGACGGGUCAUCCUAAAAGCCAAGGUAAAUUGAUAUAUGUUAAUAUUGUUAUUUACUUGAUAAAUGAUUGGCAGUAUAAGGACCGAGAGAAUGAGAACCAAACUGGUGGAGAUCCUGAGAAGCAUUUUUUAUGCUGCAAGAUUGAAUCAUAAAUUUUGAUUUGCAAACUUUCUAUGCAGCACGAAGCAUCAAUAAUAUUCUAGAGCCUGUAUCGACUUUAAGUGGCCGGAUGAUGUCAUUGAGUUUGCAGAUUGGAUGCACCUUCACAGCACGUUCCAAAGCAAUGGUCUAAAAAAGACGGUCGUGAAGGGACAAUAUGGAAAGAUCCCAAGUAUCGUGAACUAGAACAUGAUUUUAUAGAACUGAAGAUGAUCAAGCUGGAAAUUUCUACGGUUUCGAUUGCAAAUAUGAAUUGAAGACAUCGAAGGAGUUGUUUGGGUUGCAAGUACGAAGUCAUUGAAAGUUAUUGUAUCACUCUCAUCUAUAGAGAUAUAUGUAUUUGUGUUACUUUGAAACUUUUGUAAUUUAUAUUAUUUGGUUAUUUUAUAUUGGUUUUAAUUUAAUUUAA
RNA transcript from Helianthus annuus (common sunflower), 1232 nucleotides. RefSeq lists it as uncharacterized. The transcript is spliced from 4 exons. The record is from RefSeq and is a predicted model, not a curated record. NCBI's taxonomy places the organism in Eukaryota, Viridiplantae, Streptophyta, Magnoliopsida, Asterales, Asteraceae.